AGGUUUUGUAGUCAUUUAUGAUUUUAAAUUGCAAAUUUAAAGGUGAAUUUAGCUUCC
Molecule: transfer RNA, 57 nt
Filed under: Lycostomus sp. YXY-2021
Lineage: Eukaryota; Metazoa; Arthropoda; Insecta; Coleoptera; Lycidae
Description: tRNA-Cys
Source: RNAcentral